GAUGAACGCUAGCUACAGGCUUAACACAUGCAAGUCGAGGGGCAUCAGGAAGAAAGCUUGCUUUCUUUGCUGGCGACCGGCGCACGGGUGAGUAACACGUAUCCAACCUGCCCUUUACUCGGGGAUAGCCUUUCGAAAGAAAGAUUAAUACCCGAUGGCAUAAUGAUUCCGCAUGGUUUCAUUAUUAAAGGAUUCCGGUAAAGGAUGGGGAUGCGUUCCAUUAGGUUGUUGGUGAGGUAACGGCUCACCAAGCCUUCGAUGGAUAGGGGUUCUGAGAGGAAGGUCCCCCACAUUGGAACUGAGACACGGUCCAAACUCCUACGGGAGGCAGCAGUGAGGAAUAUUGGUCAAUGGGCGCUAGCCUGAACCAGCCAAGUAGCGUGAAGGAUGAAGGCUCUAUGGGUCGUAAACUUCUUUUAUAUAAGAAUAAAGUGCAGUAUGUAUACUGUUUUGUAUGUAUUAUAUGAAUAAGGAUCGGCUAACUCCGUGCCAGCAGCCGCGGUAAUACGGAGGAUCCGAGCGUUAUCCGGAUUUAUUGGGUUUAAAGGGAGCGUAGGUGGACUGGUAAGUCAGUUGUGAAAGUUUGCGGCUCAACCGUAAAAUUGCAGUUGAUACUGUCAGUCUUGAGUACAGUAGAGGUGGGCGGAAUUCGUGGUGUAGCGGUGAAAUGCUUAGAUAUCACGAAGAACUCCGAUUGCGAAGGCAGCUCACUGGACUGCAACUGACACUGAUGCUCGAAAGUGUGGGUAUCAAACAGGAUUAGAUACCCUGGUAGUCCACACAGUAAACGAUGAAUACUCGCUGUUUGCAAUAUACAGUAAGCGGCCAAGCGAAAGCAUUAAGUAUUCCACCUGGGGAGUACGCCGGCAACGGUGAAACUCAAAGGAAUUGACGGGGGCCCGCACAAGCGGAGGAACAUGUGGUUUAAUUCGAUGAUACGCGAGGAACCUUACCCGGGCUUAAAUUGCAGUGGAAUGAUGUGGAUACAUGUCAGUGAGCAAUCACCGCUGUGAAGGUGCUGCAUGGUUGUCGUCAGCUCGUGCCGUGAGGUGUCGGCUUAAGUGCCAUAACGAGCGCAACCCUUAUCUUUAGUUACUAACAGGUUAUGCUGAGGACUCUAGAGAGACUGCCGUCGUAAGAUGUGAGGAAGGUGGGGAUGACGUCAAAUCAGCACGGCCCUUACGUCCGGGGCUACACACGUGUUACAAUGGGGGGUACAGAAGGCAGCUAGCGGGUGACCGUAUGCUAAUCCCAAAAGCCUCUCUCAGUUCGGAUCGAAGUCUGCAACCCGACUUCGUGAAGCUGGAUUCGCUAGUAAUCGCGCAUCAGCCACGGCGCGGUGAAUACGUUCCCGGGCCUUGUACACACCGCCCGUCAAGCCAUGGGAGCCGGGGGUACCUGAAGUACGUAACCGCAAGGAUCGUCCUAGGGUAAAACUGGUGACUGGGGC
Molecule: ribosomal RNA, 1450 nt
Filed under: uncultured organism
Description: SSU rRNA
Rfam family: Bacterial small subunit ribosomal RNA
Source: RNAcentral